This 554-nucleotide long non-coding RNA is filed under the name Nicotiana benthamiana. RNAcentral's name for it is "long non-coding RNA (NBEN_LNC003576)". Lineage: Eukaryota; Viridiplantae; Streptophyta; Magnoliopsida; Solanales; Solanaceae. The record is from RNAcentral.
UCAUAUCCAUAUUGCUUAAAUGAAUAAUUAUCCAUAAAGAGGUUUAAAACAACCCAACACAUAGAUAUCAUGUUCUAGUAUAAAUAUGCAUGGAAUUAGCUUUUUAUAACAUUCAACACCUAGACCAACAUGCCUAUUGUAUUUAAUAAACUCAAGUUAUUUGACUAAUUCCUAGAAUUUUUUUUUGAGAAAAUAUUUAUAGGGGUAUGACAGAUCCACACCUAGGCAAGCAUCAGGCAAUUAAAAGUUUCAUAAAACUGCGAAAUGGUGUUGUGUUGUGAAAUUGUCCAAGUUUAACAGGUUCUAAAAUCAGUAGGCAAAUUGAUCAGGUUAUAUCACUUUUCUUUAAGAUAAUACUUCAUAUUCUAUGUUUGUGAUGCUCAUUUAGAUACCCCGUUCUAGGACUUCUCUGAAAUUACCUGAAAUAUGUGUUUAAAACGUGUUCCUUAUUGGUUUAUGUGUGGAGGUAAACAUGAGCCCCUUAACUACUUCCCUAUUUGACAAUCCUAUAUGUUAUUUGUUGUCGCUUAGAUUUUACCUUUUGAACACCUUAG